GACGAACGCUGGCGGCGUGCCUAAUACAUGCAAGUCGAGCGCUGAAGGUUGUUACUUGUACCGACUGGAUGAGCAGCGCACGGGUGAGUAACCCGUGGGGGAUCUGCCUUGGUGCGGGGGACAACAUUUGCAAACGAAUGCUAAUACCGCAUAAAAACUUUAAACACAAGUUUUAAGUUUGAAAGAUGCAAUUGCAUCACUCAAAGAUGAUCCCCCGUUGUAUUAGCUAGUUGGUGAGGUAAAGGCUCAGCAAGGCGAUGAUACAUAGCCGAACUGAGAGGGUGAUCAGCAGCAUUGGGAGGGAGACAAGGCCCCAAGUACUGAGGGAGGCAGCAGCCGGGCAUCUUCGGCAAUGGGCGGAAGGCUGACCGAGGCAAGGCGCGUGAGUGAGGAAGGGUAUCGGAUCGUAAAAGUAUGUUGGUAGAGAAGAACGAUGGUGAGAGUGGAAAGAACAUCCAGUGACGGUAACUAGCGAGAAAGCAACGGCUAACUACGUG
RNAcentral lists this ribosomal RNA (497 nucleotides) under uncultured bacterium. RNAcentral describes it as "partial 16S ribosomal RNA". It matches the Rfam family "Bacterial small subunit ribosomal RNA", at positions 28 to 507 of the family's 1533-position model. The record is from RNAcentral.